CGAUUAAGCACUUUAAGCGAGGAGGAGGCUACUUUAGUUAAUACCUAGAGAUAGUGGACGUUACUCGCAGAAUAAGCACCGGCUAACUCUGUGCCAGCAGCCGCGGUAAUACAGAGGGUGCAAGCGUUAAUCGGAUUUACUGGGCGUAAAGCGCGCGUAGGCGGCUAAUUAAGUCAAAUGUGAAAUCCCCGAGCUUAACUUGGGAAUUGCAUUCGAUACUGGUUAGCUAGAGUGUGGGAGAGGAUGGUAGAAUUCCAGGUGUAGCGGUGAAAUGCGUAGAGAUCUGGAGGAAUACCGAUGGCGAAGGCAGCCAUCUGGCCUAACACUGACGCUGAGGUGCGAAAGCAUGGGGAGCAAACAGGAUUAGAUACCCUGGUAGUCCAUGCCGUAAACGAUGUCUACUAGCCGUUGGGGCCUUUGAGGCUUUAGUGGCGCAGCUAACGCGAUAAGUAGACCGCCUGGGGAGUACGGUCGCAAGACUAAAACUCAAAUGAAUUGACGGGGGCCCGCACAAGCGGUGGAGCAUGUGGUUUAAUUCGAUGCAACGCGAAGAACCUUACCUGGCCUUGACAUAGUAAGAACUUUCCAGAGAUGGAUUGGUGCCUUCGGGAACUUACAUACAGGUGCUGCAUGGCUGUCGUCAGCUCGUGUCGUGAGAUGUUGGGUUAAGUCCCGCAACGAGCGCAACCCUUUUCCUUAUUUGCCAGCGAGUAAUGUCGGGAACUUUAAGGAUACUGCCAGUGACAAACUGGAGGAAGGCGGGGACGACGUCAAGUCAUCAUGGCCCUUACGGCCAGGGCUACACACGUGCUACAAUGGUCGGUACAAAGGGUUGCUACCUAGCGAUAGGAUGCUAAUCUCAAAAAGCCGAUCGUAGUCCGGAUUGGAGUCUGCAACUCGACUCCAUGAAGUCGGAAUCGCUAGUAAUCGCGGAUCAGAAUGCCGCGGUGAAUACGUUCCCGGGCCUUGUACACACCGCCCGUCACACCAUGGGAGUUUGUUGCACCAGAAGUAGCUAGCCUAACUGCAAAGAGGGCGGUUACCACGGUGUGGCCGAUGACUGGGGUGAAGUCGUAACAAGGUAACC
RNAcentral lists this ribosomal RNA (1087 nucleotides) under uncultured bacterium. RNAcentral describes it as "bacterial SSU rRNA". It matches the Rfam family "Bacterial small subunit ribosomal RNA", at positions 423 to 1501 of the family's 1533-position model. The record is from RNAcentral.